CUUAUUUGGCUCCUGUCUGCAGGGUUUACGCGCACGUUGGAAUCGAAGAGAGCUCUGUUGUUGCAAUGUUCAGCCCACAAGAGCUUACAGGUGAAGGAAUGGGACAAGACCCAUCUUUAUGCAAAGCCAGCGUUACAGUAAUGUUCCAGGUAUUUCUGAUGACAGUCUGCCUCUAUCUUACAGUACUACUAACCAAUAACCUGCUUGGCUCAAAGGGCCAGCACCUUCUCUCUAAAGCCCAAGAGGAGUUUGAGGAAAACUAGGUGUCUCUGUUCACUCCAGGCUGAAGUUACAGGUUUGAGGAAAGGUGUAUAAAAAAUGGAAUCUGUCUUGGAGGACAUCAGAAGUUGAAUUUUCCAAGUCCUUGGACAACCUAGCUGUUGAAAAGCUUUCUGGAUUUGGGGGGUCUUUCAGAUGUACCUUAAAGUGUUAGCAGACACAGAUUAAGACACUGGGAGCCAAUGAAACAUAGCAGUUGAGGGUUUGCUAUGUAUCACAUUUCUGUAUUUUAUCACCUCCUUCCUGCAACAUUAUUUCUGUGGAAUCUACCUGCCCUUUUGUUUUUUAGAUACAAGGGCUUGGUUUUGUUACCAAGGCUGGUUUCAAGGCCCUAGCUUUAAGAGAUCCUCCCACCACAGAUUUCCAAAGUGCUGGGAUUGCAGGUAUGAUUAGUGGCACCCAGACUUUGCUGCCUUUCUUACAUGAUCAAGGCCCGGAACCCAAACUCAGGCACUGCAUAGAUGACCAGUUUGG
RNAcentral lists this long non-coding RNA (753 nucleotides) under Pongo abelii (Sumatran orangutan). Its description in RNAcentral is "lincRNA". The record is from RNAcentral. Lineage: Eukaryota; Metazoa; Chordata; Mammalia; Primates; Hominidae.